This is a long non-coding RNA of Schistocerca gregaria, 406 nucleotides long. RefSeq lists it as uncharacterized. NCBI's taxonomy places the organism in Eukaryota, Metazoa, Arthropoda, Insecta, Orthoptera, Acrididae. The transcript has 3 exons. The record is from RefSeq and is a predicted model, not a curated record.
CUUCCCCUUUUUAUUUGACACGCAGCUAGCACAUUCUGCGCUUUCUCCAGACUCCUGUAGCGGCGAACCAGGCAAUGGGCCCACACCAUACACAUACAACUAUGGCUCAAUAACACCCUACUGCAGAGCGGGUAGAGAUGGAACUGAGGAGAGUAUGGAUUGCUCCUAUGCAAUAACAGUGGCAUCUGAAGCUGUGAACAACAUCUUUUGCUGAUAUUCUACUGGGUGUGGGGGAUGAUAUGGAUGCCAAAAAGCUAGCAUUACAUAUUCCAUUGUAUAUGUAUGAAUGGAGCUCCGUUACUUAAUCUGCAAAAUGAGAUGGUGAUAGUGAUACAAUUGUUGAUUUUUGAAAUGUACUGAUUCAAGAUAAGAUGUUAUUUUAUAAUAACUAAUGCAGAUUUUCCAU